Molecule: ribosomal RNA, 756 nt
Filed under: uncultured Ureaplasma sp.
Lineage: Bacteria; Bacillati; Mycoplasmatota; Mycoplasmoidales; Mycoplasmoidaceae
Description: bacterial SSU rRNA
Rfam family: Bacterial small subunit ribosomal RNA
Source: RNAcentral
GAUUAACGCUGGCGGCAUGCCUAAUACAUGCAAAUCGAACGAAGCCUUUUAGGCUUAGUGGUGAACGGGUGAGUAACACGUAUCCAAUCUACCCUUAAGUUGGGGAUAACUAGUCGAAAGAUUAGCUAAUACCGAAUAAUAACAUCAAUAUCGCAUGAGAAGAUGUAGAAAGUCGCUCUUUGUGGCGACGCUUUUGGAUGAGGGUGCGACGUAUCAGAUAGUUGGUGAGGUAAUGGCUCACCAAGUCAAUGACGCGUAGCUGUACUGAGAGGUAGAACAGCCACAAUGGGACUGAGACACGGCCCAUACUCCUACGGGAGGCAGCAGUAGGGAAUUUUUCACAAUGGGCGCAAGCCUUAUGAAGCAAUGCCGCGUGAACGAUGAAGGUCUUAUAGAUUGUAAAGUUCUUUUAUAUGGGAAGAAACGCUAAAAUAGGAAAUGAUUUUAGUUUGACUGUACCAUUUGAAUAAGUAUCGGCUAACUAUGUGCCAGCAGCCGCGGUAAUACAUAGGAUGCAAGCGUUAUCCGGAUUUACUGGGCGUAAAACGAGCGCAGGCGGGUUUGUAAGUUUGGUAUUAAAUCUAGAUGCUUAACGUCUAGCUGUAUCAAAAACUGUAAACCUAGAGUGUAGUAGGGAGUUGGGGAACUCCAUGUGGAGCGGUAAAAUGCGUAGAUAUAUGGAAGAACACCGGUGGCGAAGGCGCCAACUUGGACUAUCACUGACGCUUAGGCUCGAAAGUGUGGGGAGCAAAUAGG